AAGACCUUACGCUUUUGGAGCGGCCGAUGUCUGAUUAGCUUGUUGGUGAGGUAAAGGCUUACCAAGGCUUCGAUCAGUAGCUGGUCUGAGAGGACGACCAGCCACACUGGGACUGAGACACGGCCCAGACUCCUACGGGAGGCAGCAGUGGGGAAUUUUGGACAAUGGGGGAAACCCUGAUCCAGCCAUGCCGCGUGAGUGAAGAAGGCCUUCGGGUUGUAAAGCUCUUUCAGCCGGAACGAAACGGUUACGAUUAAUACCUGUAACUACUGACGGUACCGGAAGAAGAAGCACCGGCUAACUACGUGCCAGCAGCCGCGGUAAUACGUAGGGUGCGAGCGUUAAUCGGAAUUACUGGGCGUAAAGCGUGCGCAGGUGGUUUCGUAAGUCAGAUGUGAAAUCCCCGGGCUUAACCUGGGAACU
This 423-nucleotide ribosomal RNA is filed under the name uncultured bacterium. RNAcentral describes it as "bacterial SSU rRNA". It matches the Rfam family "Bacterial small subunit ribosomal RNA", at positions 207 to 622 of the family's 1533-position model. The record is from RNAcentral.